GGGCCUGUAGCUCAGUUGGUUAGAGCAGUGGACUCAUAAUCCAUUGGUUGAUUUUUUCACAAAUUCC
Molecule: transfer RNA, 67 nt
Filed under: Woeseiaceae bacterium
Lineage: Bacteria; Pseudomonadati; Pseudomonadota; Gammaproteobacteria; Woeseiales; Woeseiaceae
Description: tRNA-Met
Rfam family: tRNA
About the family: Transfer RNA (tRNA) molecules are approximately 80 nucleotides in length. Their secondary structure includes four short double-helical elements and three loops (D, anti-codon, and T loops). Further hydrogen bonds mediate the characteristic L-shaped molecular structure. tRNAs have two regions of fundamental functional importance: the anti-codon, which is responsible for specific mRNA codon recognition, and the 3' end, to which the tRNAs corresponding amino acid is attached (by aminoacyl-tRNA synthetases). tRNAs cope with the degeneracy of the genetic code in two manners: having more than one tRNA (with a specific anti-codon) for a particular amino acid; and 'wobble' base-pairing, i.e. permitting non-standard base-pairing at the 3rd anti-codon position.
Source: RNAcentral